AACAAAAACAUGGCCUUUUGAUUUUAAUUUAAGGUCUAGCCUGCCCACUGAUUAUUUAAAUGGCCGCGGUACUCUGACCGUGCAAAGGUAGCAUAAUAAUUAGUUUUUUAAUUGAAAGCUGGAAUGAAUGGUUGAACGAAAAAAAGACUGUCUCUGCUUAAUUUAAAUUAGAACUUUAUCUUUAAGUAAAAAAGCUUAAAUUAGUUUAAAAGACGAGAAGACCCUGUGGAGUUUUAUAGCCGUUUUUAUAUCCUUUUUUAAAGUAUUGUUUAUUAGGGUAUGAAAAUUUCUAUUUGGUUGGGGUGAUCAGAAAAUUGAAUGAACUUUUCUUUAAAGGUUUAACAUUAAUUAAUGGCUAGCUGAUCCAUACAUUUAUGAUUAAAAGAUUAAAUUACCCCAGGGAUAACAGCGUUAUUUUUCUCGAGAGUUCUAUCGAAAGAAAAGUUCG
This 448-nucleotide ribosomal RNA is filed under the name Bolboceras sp. 1 YvdM-2007. RNAcentral's name for it is "partial 16S ribosomal RNA". It matches the Rfam family "Archaeal large subunit ribosomal RNA", at positions 1898 to 2589 of the family's 2987-position model. The record is from RNAcentral. Lineage: Eukaryota; Metazoa; Arthropoda; Insecta; Coleoptera; Bolboceratidae.